CCUACGGGUGGCAGCAGUGAGGAAUAUUGGUCAAUGGGCGCAAGACUGAACCAGCCAAGUAGCGUGCAGGAUGACGGCCCUACGGGUUGUAAACUUCUUUUAUACGGGAAUAAAAUGCGGCACGUGUGCCGUUUUGUAUGUACCUUAUGAAUAAGGACCGGCUAAUUCCGUGCCAGCAGCCGCGGUAAUACGGAGGGUCCGGGCGUUAUCCGGAUUUAUUGGGUUUAAAGGGAGCGUAGAUGGGUUGUUAAGCGUGCUGUGAAAGUUCGCGGCUCAACCGUAGCACUGCAGUGGAUACUGGCAGGCUUGAGUGCAGGUGAGGUAGGCGGAAUUCGUGGUGUAGCGGUGAAAUGCUUAGAUAUCACGAAGAACUCCGAUUGCGAAGGCAGCCUACUAAAGGGCUACUGACGCUGAUGCUCGAAAGCGCGGGUAUCAAACAGGAUUAGAUACCCUAGUAGUC
Molecule: ribosomal RNA, 460 nt
Filed under: uncultured bacterium
Lineage: Bacteria
Description: partial 16S ribosomal RNA
Rfam family: Bacterial small subunit ribosomal RNA
Source: RNAcentral